GUCCUAGCCGUAAACGAUGAGCACUGGAUUGGAGGGUCCUCCAUAGCCUUCCAGUCGCAACGAAAGCGUUAAGUGCUCCGCCUGGGGAGUAUGGUCGCAAGGCUGAAACUCAAAGUAAUUGACGGGGCUCACACAAGCGGUGGAGGAUGUGGCUUAAUUCGAGGCUACGCGAAGAACCUUAUCCUAGUCUUGACAUGCACGGAUUAACCCCUGGAAACAGGGGCCACGCCUUCGGGUGGAACGUGCACAGGUGCUGCAUGGCUGUCGU
Molecule: ribosomal RNA, 268 nt
Filed under: uncultured bacterium
Lineage: Bacteria
Description: partial 16S ribosomal RNA
Rfam family: Bacterial small subunit ribosomal RNA
Source: RNAcentral